CCUACGGGUGGCAGCAGUGGGGAAUAUUGGGCAAUGGACGCAAGUCUGACCCAGCAACGCCGCGUGAAGGAAGAAGGCUUUCGGGUUGUAAACUUCUUUUAAGGGGGAAGAGCAGAAGACGGUACCCCUUGAAUAAGCCACGGCUAACUACGUGCCAGCAGCCGCGGUAAUCCGGAGGUGGCAGGCGUUGUCCGGAUUUACUGGGUGUAAGGGGCGUGCAGCCGGAGAGAAAAGUCAGAUGGGAAAUCCACGGGCUCAACCCGUGAACUGCAUUUGAGACUGUUUCCCUGGAGUGUCGGAGAGGUAAGCGGAAUGCCUGGUGUAGCGGUGAAAUGCGUAGAUAUAAGGAAGAACACCGGUUGCGAAGGCGGAUUACUGGACGACAACUGACGGUGAGGCGCGAAAGCGUGGGGAGCAAACAGGAUUAGAUACCCUGGUAGUC
RNAcentral lists this ribosomal RNA (442 nucleotides) under uncultured bacterium. Its description in RNAcentral is "partial 16S ribosomal RNA". It matches the Rfam family "Bacterial small subunit ribosomal RNA", at positions 338 to 795 of the family's 1533-position model. The record is from RNAcentral.